RNAcentral lists this long non-coding RNA (315 nucleotides) under Physcomitrium patens. RNAcentral describes it as "long non-coding RNA (PPAT_LNC003610)". Lineage: Eukaryota; Viridiplantae; Streptophyta; Bryopsida; Funariales; Funariaceae. The record is from RNAcentral.
UUGGUUUUCCUCCCCACAUGUUAUUCAUGGAUCUACUCAGAACUGAGUCUUUGCAGUUGCUGUGGAACAAAGACUUUUUCUUUUUGUGAUUUUUUUUAUCUUUUGACUCUCUUUCUUUUUUUGGUUUUUUCAUGUCUUGUUUAGUAUUAGCUAGCUGGAUCCAUUCUCCUGCAACAUCACCACCAUGACCAUUUACCUGCAACCCCUGUUAAUGAUCACACAGGAGCAAGCUUUUUGUUUUGUUUUUGUUUAUAUAUUAUUUUUUAAUGGAAAAAUAUCCUGAGAUGUAUGUGCCCUUCAAGAGCACUUUAAAAA